Bos taurus (domestic cattle) is the source of this 1171-nucleotide long non-coding RNA. Lineage: Eukaryota; Metazoa; Chordata; Mammalia; Artiodactyla; Bovidae. The record is from Ensembl.
CUCCACAGGUGAUGUAGCCAUUCAAAAGGAGAGGAGCCUAGAGAGGAAGGGAGGGGCUCAGGGAAGUCUGCAGAGAUUUAGAUAAGAGUUCACUGGAAGAAAAGGCAGUUUAGUCAGGGGGAGUUCCAUGGACAAAGGCUGGGUUUAAACUGCUUCCAAGAGGCCAGGCUCUGAUGAAGUGUCAGUUUUUCACUUGUGACCCUAAGCAGGGUGAGUAGAUCUCUACAGGGAGUCUACUUUUAAUUCUCAGGAAAAUGUCAUGGGAGUACUGUUCAGAUAUGGAAAGAUCUACCAUCCCUUUCAUAGCAGACUUGCACAGCCAAGGAGGACUUUGAGCUGGGAUCUUGGUGUGAAAUGAAUUAUUCUGCUCCAGAAGACAGCAUCUUAAAUGCACCUGAGCCUGAAUCCUGGAUUUUGCUUCCUUUGUGUUCCUGCCAUUUGCUGUGAUAAAUACCUUUUCUCUCAACAGAAGGAAUAUACGGAUGUGGGCACAGCCAUCUCCCAAAUAACUAGGCUCCUCCAUCUGACUCAGUAGCCAUCCUUCUUCCCAGGACAUCUGCCUCGCAGAACCACCCUCCUGGGGAAUGAGCCAGUGUUUACCCGUGUGUGAUUCUUAAGCAUUUCCUGAGCAUCUGCUGAGCCCUCCACUCUGCAGGAGGUCUCUCUGCAACAUGCAAGUAAUUUCCUUCAAUAAACAUUCAUCAUAUGCUUUCCGUGUUGCAGAGAAUAAGGCUGUACCCAGAGGCAAGGCCUUGCCCUCUUCAAGCUUACCUUCCAGGGGCAUGUGAAACUAGGGAAAGAGAUGGAAAUAUGUAAUUAUGACAAGAAUAAGUUUCUUGUCCUUAAGGAGUUAUUGUUGAAUAGGGAAAAUAAAACAUGGUGAUUGAUCAACCGUAUUUUAUCUAAAAGCCACAGAUAAUGUCCAGUUAGUCAACCAUUAGUUGCCGGUAAGAACAAUGGCCUCUGGUUCCAUUAUGUUGACAAGGAUGCAUGGUGGAGAGUCCUGGUCUGGACUGAGCCCACCCAGAUGGGCUUCCAUGCUCAGCCAUCUGCUGACUGUGAGAUCUUGAGUAAAUGACUUAACCUUCUUGAGUCGUAGACUCAUCUGUUAAAGGGUCUGCCUUACUUCCUUGGUGGUUUGUUGUGACACAGGUAAAUUAUAUAUGUAAGC